This is a small nuclear RNA of Tyto alba (common barn owl), 107 nucleotides long. NCBI's taxonomy places the organism in Eukaryota, Metazoa, Chordata, Aves, Strigiformes, Tytonidae. The record is from Rfam.
GUGCUGCCGAAGCGAGCACAUAUACUAAAAUAGGAAUGAUAUAGAGCAGACUAGCAUGGCCCCUGCAUAAGGAUGACACACAAAUUCACGAAGCCUUCCAUAUUAGG